Molecule: ribosomal RNA, 774 nt
Filed under: uncultured Neocallimastigales
Lineage: Eukaryota; Fungi; Neocallimastigomycota; Neocallimastigomycetes; Neocallimastigales
Description: partial large subunit ribosomal RNA
Rfam family: Eukaryotic large subunit ribosomal RNA
Source: RNAcentral
CGCAUCUGUGCAUGCAGCAUAUCAAUAAGCGGAGGAAAAGAAACUGACAAGGAUUCCCCUAGUAACGGCGAGUGGAGCGGGAAGAGCUCAAAUUUGAAAUCUUAAAGGGUUUCCCUUUACGAAUUGUAGUUUAAAGAAGUGUUUUCUGUUGAGGUUUUGGUAAAAGUUCUUUGGAAUAGGACAUCAUAGAGGGUGAGAAUCCCGUAUUUGACCUUUACUUUCAACUUUGUGAUACACUUUCAAAGAGUCGGAUUGUUUGGGAAUGCAGUCCAAAAUGGGUGGUAAAUUUCAUCUAAAGCUAAAUAUUGGCGAGAGACCGAUAGCGAACAAGUACCGUGAGGGAAAGAUGAAAAGAACUUUGAAAAGAGAGUUAAACAGCACGUGAAAUUGUCAAAAGGGAAGCGUUUGACACCAGUGUUGUUUUUCUGAAAAUCAAUUAAAGAACUGUUUAUGCUAAGCUGUUUAGACUUUAUCAGCUAACUGUUUAGUUUUGAGCUUUUCUUUAAUGCACUUUUCAGUUAACAAGUCAACAUCAAUUUCUUUUGCUGUAAAAAAGCUUGAGGAAGGUGGCUUGAGAUUCGUCUUAAGUGUUUAUAGCCUCUUGCCUAUGCAGUCGGAGAGAUUGAGGUCUGCAGCGUAGAUCCUUCGGGGCUAAAUGCAUUUGUGCUAAGUUAUAGCAUUUUAUAGACAACUUGUUGACUAUGAUUUGUCUUGUAGCUUACUCGCUUAUGUUAUUUUACCUACGCUUAGGAUGUUGAGUCAUCACACAUCUCU